ACCAGACUCCUACGGGAGGCAGCAGUGAGGGAUAUUGGGCAAUGGGGGAAACCCUGACCCAGCGACGCCGCGUGAGGGAAGACGGUCUUCGGAUUGUAAACCUCUGUCUUUGGGGACGAAAAAGGACGGUACCCAAGGAGGAAGCUCCGGCUAACUACGUGCCAGCAGCCGCGGUAAUACGUAGGGAGCGAGCGUUGUCCGGAAUUACUGGGUGUAAAGGGAGCGCAGGCGGAUUGACAAGUUGGGAGUGAAAACUACGGGCUCAACCCGUAACCUGCUUUCAAAACUGUCAGUCUUGAGUGGUGUAGAGGUAGGCGGAAUUCCCGGUGUAGCGGUGGAAUGCGUAGAUAUCGGGAGGAACACCAGUGGCGAAGGCGGCCUACUGGGCACUAACUGACGCUGAGGCUCGAAAGCAUGGGUAGCAAACAGGAUUAGAUACCCGUGUAA
RNAcentral lists this ribosomal RNA (447 nucleotides) under uncultured bacterium. RNAcentral describes it as "bacterial SSU rRNA". It matches the Rfam family "Bacterial small subunit ribosomal RNA", at positions 330 to 793 of the family's 1533-position model. The record is from RNAcentral.